AGUCCACGCUGUAAACGAUGUCGAUUUGGAGGUUGUGCCCUUGAGGCGUGGCUUCCGGAGCUAACGCGUUAAAUCGACCGCCUGGGGAGUACGGCCGCAAGGUUAAAACUCAAAUGAAUUGACGGGGGCCCGCACAAGCGGUGGAGCAUGUGGUUUAAUUCGAUGCAACGCGAAGAACCUUACCUACUCUUGACAUCCAGAGAACUUUCCAGAGAUGGAUUGGUGCCUUCGGGAACUCUGAGACAGGUGCUGCAUGGCUGUCGUCAGCUCGUGUUGUGAAAUGUUGGGUUAAGUCCCGCAACGAGCGCAACCCUUAUCCUUUGUUGCCAGCGGUUCGGCCGGGAACUCAAAGGAGACUGCCAGUGAUAAACUGGAGGAAGGUGGGGAUGACGUCAAGUCAUCAUGGCCCUUACGAGUAGGGCUACACACGUGCUACAAUGGCAUAUACAAAGAGAAGCGACCUCGCGAGAGCAAGCGGACCUCAUAAAGUAUGUCGUAGUCCGGAUUGGAGUCUGCAACUCGACUCCAUGAAGUCGGAAUCGCUAGUAAUCGUAGAUCAGAAUGCUACGGUGAAUACGUUCCCGGGCCUUGUACACACCGCCCGUCACACCAUGGGAGUGGGUUGCAAAAGAAGUAGGUAGCUUAACCUUCGGGAGGGCGCUUACCACUUUGUGAUUCAU
Molecule: ribosomal RNA, 680 nt
Filed under: uncultured Serratia sp.
Lineage: Bacteria; Pseudomonadati; Pseudomonadota; Gammaproteobacteria; Enterobacterales; Yersiniaceae
Description: bacterial SSU rRNA
Rfam family: Bacterial small subunit ribosomal RNA
Source: RNAcentral